Long non-coding RNA from Haliotis rufescens (red abalone), 943 nucleotides. RefSeq lists it as uncharacterized. The transcript has 2 exons. NCBI's taxonomy places the organism in Eukaryota, Metazoa, Mollusca, Gastropoda, Lepetellida, Haliotidae. The record is from RefSeq and is a predicted model, not a curated record.
ACAAGACCUCUCAUUGACAAGACAACAGCCGUCGUGCAUCAGCAUGGACAUGAAUUUCAAAUUGAGAAGAGGAAACACGGAAAACCUGUCAAUUUUUUCAUGUGUCAUUCGGUAAAAAUUCAAAAACCUGUAUCAACAACAUAGAAGGAAUGUACAGAAGUCAUGUUUGAUUGAGAAAAGUUACGACAAGUAGGUAAACUUUGAAAAAUACGAUUGCUGUCAGUGUCGGAAAGAAUGACCCGACUUGACCCAGAUAUGAGACAGCCGAAACCAGGAAUGACAAGAGAACCGGUGUUACAGUUUAAUCCGGACAACAAGUUUAAUGAACAUCGUUUGUGAUUUGAGACAAGUGUGACUGAUGGGAAACAUGUGCAUGUGGGAUUUUAGGAGGACUUGUCAAACGCACUUGUGGAGUGGUCACAGUCAGAUGACGGGAGUUUGUUGAUAUUUUGAUGUGUUUCAUAAUGGUCGAAUACCUGUUGAUAGACUAACACGGUAUCUGGAGACUUAGUGACAAGCUGUCCGCAUUCACAGAGUUCAUUUAGUUCAAUGUCGGACACAGGAUCACCUCGCUGGGUUAUCGAUGUCAUCAUCAUUCACAAAGGCAAACCUGUCUAUACAAAGUCCGGUUUUGGGGAUUCGUGUGGUCGAAAGAUUUGCCAAACAGCAAGUCCUCUAACACAGACGCAAAUCUGAAUCUUGGAACUUCAAUCUGGCCAUAUGCAGUUUUGACAACAAAGACAUUAAAUGUGUUCAGAGGUUGAAUUAUGCGAAUAACUCUUCCUGUCAGAGCUCCGUCUACUUUAAUGAGGUCAUUUAGUUUGACAGGUGUCAAAUGGUCAGCCAUGUUUGUUUACAAACAAUGCAGACGUAGUUUUGUUUUUUGUAAUUACGCUUAUUGUAAACUAAAACUCGUGCGAAAUAAAUGCUUUAUUCAUUAUAA